CACAAUCUUAUUGCUGGUACAGAAGUUUGAUAAACACAUUGUAGAAUGGCUUUUUCUGAUCCUUAUUUAUUCAUUUAUUUGUUGUUUUGUUUGUUUCUUUGUUUGAGACAGAGUUUCUCUAUGUAGCCCUGGCUGUCCUGGAACUCACUCUGUAGACCAAAGUGGCCUUGAACUCAAGGAUCUACCUGCCUUUGCCUCCUGAGUGCUGGGAUUAAAGGCAGAGCAGGGAUGCUGCCAGCAGCCACAGUGGUACGGCCAGACUGAUGGAUCCAUUGAUUCCUCUCACCGACCCGGGUCCUGCAGAGCAAAAGAGAGAGAGACAAGAUAAGCACCUUCUGCCAGUUCCACUUGACAGCCAAAUAAAGCUGGAAAGAGAGGCAAGGCGUGGCCAGUAUGCAAUGGCUCCUGCUUGAGAAGCUGCUACCCACCCUCUCCACAUGAUUCCUGUGAAGCCAAUACUGAUUAAGAUUCCAAGCGCUGGUGUGGUUCCUCCAGGAGCCCAAUACAGGCUCUCCCUGGAGACGCGUCAGAGCAACUCCAUCAUCUCAGAUGAGAGAGCCGGCAGCCCAGCUAAGCUGCAGCAAGUGAGGCUUUGAAGAGUGAAGGAAAUUGAGGCAGAGGUGAAAUGUCAACUGUUUCCACGCUUCAUCUCAUCAGUCGCUGCUUAGCGGUUAUGUCCGAUGUGGGUGUCAGAGCCAGCGAUGCGUUUACCUGAAUAGUCACCAAGCAACUGUAAAACUCUGAGAGCUCUGCCACUGGGUAGUGGCCAUUCUACAAAAUGAGUCCUUAACCAAGGACACUUAAGAUGAAGCACAUAACGGAUGGGAGAGCGGGUAGGAGGGAGCUGAGUAACUCGCUUCAUCCCAGGGAUUUAAAAGCUGGGAUCCAACCCUCAGUCUCACACAGGCCAGAGAAGCGCCCAACCUCUCAGCUCCACCCUCAAUCUGAGGCUGUGUGAGGGCCCAGGUUAUAAGCGGACGGCUGUUUCCGUGACUAAGAACCAGUAUCGAAACAGCUGAGAAGUCCUACCAUGUCAUCAUCAUUUGAGGACGGAAAGUCAACAUCACCUAGAAAGACGCUGGUCAAAAUGGAAUCCCACACUUUCCUUCUGCGUACCUGAGGGCUUUGCUCUGUAGGGCUGACAGUUAGCAGAAAAGGUCUGCUGCUGGCUAGAAGCAGGGACGGUGAUGCAAACUCACCAAAAUACUGUGAUCCUAGACACAACAAGUGAAUCAAUAGACGUGGACUAAAGUUUAAAUGGACAUAAUUUGUUAUUAAAAUAUGAACAAAAAUCUCACCAGUUGGUUCAUCAAACUUCCAUAAACCACAGAUUCUAUGAUGAAGAGAAUGCAAAAAGAGCCUUUAAAAAGGGGAGAUGAUUUUACUAAUUUAUUUUACUUUUUAAAAUAUAGAAGAAAUAAGACUCCAGGGGGAAAUACCAAUACUUCAGGAUAGAGGGAAUAAGUAGGUGUUCUUAAACCUGAAUGAGAGUCCUGGAGGUAGCACAAGAGAAACCUUUUGUAAGGCAAGCUUUACGCCUAAGACUUGGAAGAUCCUAUGAACAUGCUAUGGCAGAAGGGCUGGACAACAGGAGGCUGCUUCUUACCCUACCUCUGCUCUAACCUUGAGCAAGACACAGAUGUUUCCCAGCCUUAGAGGAUGUGGGAAAUAGGGAAGAUUCUAAAGUAUGUGAACAAUACGAGUAUUAAAAUAAGGUGUUCACUUAUAUCAUAUCAAUGAUGUCAUCUCUGAGGAAAUAGAUUUUAUAUGAUCUUCAUUUUCUUUUUUGUAGUUUCAGGAUUUUAAAAAACCUUGUCAUGAGGAGAUAUUGUCUUUAUUUUUAAAAUAGAAAACUAUAGAAAACAAAUCAUGCACUUAAAAAUAUUUGAAGGGUAGUAUGGAAACAAAACAGUAAGUAGAAGCUUCCCAAAAUAUGUACAUAUAUGAAGGUGAUCUAAAUGAAACCAUCAAAUAAUGGGGGAGACAGAGCCCAAGUUGGUCAUCUCUUGUCAACAAGUAAAACCUUCAGUACUGGGAAUGCCUAACAUCUAGUUGCUUUGUUUGCCAAAGGGGUCCCAUGGGGCCACCCAACAACCUCGGCUGUUGCAAAGAAUGUAAGUUGCUCUGCACAAACUGAUGACAAGGUUCCAUUGUUGAAGUCAGCACCUGAACAAUUCAUCACAUGGAAAAGCCAAGCUGGUGCCUACAUUGCGCCUUUACCCCUAUAGGCUAGCAUCGUUGGUACAGGAAGAGUACUCCGUAUAUUACCAAAGGAGAAACAUAAACACAAACCCGGUUUCAUUAUAAUGGUGUCCUGUCUGCUAAACCAACUAGUGCAAUGGUGGCGCAAAGCUUGUGAGAGUCAUCAACCAAUGUCUGGUUUGACUUAAGACCCUCUCCACAAGAUGGAAUCCAUACCCAACAUUGCUUGGGUGACCAAGAACCUGAAACUAGACAGCCCAGGGACAUUGGGUAAACCAAAAUACUACUGUUCUACUAACAGCAUAGCAAUAAGAUGACUCCUAAUGACAUUCUGCUAUACUCAUAGACCAGUGCCUUGCACAACCAUCAUCACAGAAGCUUCCUCCUGCAGCAGAUGGGAGCAGAUACAGAGACCCAUAGCCAGACAACUUGCAGAGAGUGAGAAGAGACCUUGGAACUCUUAGCCUACAUGGGAUGUCUCCAUCAAAUCCCUCUCCUUGGGGAUCAGAGAACCCAACAGAAGGGGAGGAACAAGGAAUGUAAGAGCCAGAGGGGACAGAGAACACUAAGCACACAAGGCCCUCUAAAAUCAAUGGGAUCGGUGUACAUACGAAUCCACAGAGAUGGAGGCAGCCUGCACAGGAAGUUUCCUGGGAAGCACUCUCAAUAUCAGGAUGAGAGAAAGGACUACAGGAGGAAGUGGAACUGGACAGAGAAAGGAGACCAGCUCUAUGAAGAACCCUAAGCCCAAAUCAUGCCUCGAGUUGUCUGGUAUGGUGGAAAGGGGGUCUUUAGACAUCCUAGUCUCACAUCAGUUAGUCACCGGUUCAAGCCGCUGUGCUUGGCUGAGGGCAAUGCAUAAGGAGCACCUCGGCUGAGAGCCGUCAGCUGCCGAUGCUUCAAGCAGAAGGAAAAGGACAUGCUCCAGGCUCGGAGGAGUAAUCUCGGCCAGGUGCCAUUCACGACCAAUGGUAGGACGUGUUCUCAGCUAGUGUCAUUCCAUAGGCUAGGACAGCUGGUAAAGAAAGUGGCCCCCACGAUCCUGAGUGCCCACAAUCUUCUCUGGUAAUUUCAGGGAAAGUUCUGAUUGGCCUUCGAAGGAAGGUUCUGAUUGGCUUGAGUCAUGGGCUCACCACUAAUAUGCUUCUCUGAUUGUUCAAGUCUGGAUUAUACAUUUAAAACUGUAUUAUUUUAAGACUAUACUUUCUUUUUUUUUCUUUUUUUUUUUUUUUUUUCUUUUCGAGACAGGGUUUCUCUGUGUAGCUUUGCGCCUUUCCUGGAGCUCACUUGGUAGCCCAGGCUGGCCUCGAACUCACAGAGAUCCGCCUGGCUCUGCCUCCCGAGUGCUGGGAUUAAAGGCGUGCGCCACCAACGCCCGGCCUAAGACUAUACUUUCAGGGAUUAUUCCUAUAGUUCGUUACUAAAACUGUAUUAUUUUGUAUGUAUUAUGCACAUUCCUUUUUAAAUUCAGGUAUUAUGACAAUAAUCUCAAGUACUUGGAUGCUUGUGUAUAUCUGUGUAACCAUCACCUAAAACAAGAUCUAGAAUGUGUUCCUUCUCACACAGUUACCUCUUUGCUGUGAAUUUGAGAAGAGUAAGUUUUAAUUUCUACUAUUUUAAGUGUUUCUGGAUGUCAUGUCAUUAUGAACAUGUUACAAACUAAAAAGUUGUAUCUAGGAAAAAUUUAAAAGUUUUUUUUUUUUUUUUUCUGAUUACUUGGCACCUGGUUGGCAGUAUUUUAAGGCAACUGCAUCCGUCCCCUACAAGUUGAGUUGGUGGGUAUCACAUACUGAGGCGGAAGAGAAGCCAGCAUGGUUGGACUCUAAUUUCUCUAAGGACCAUGGCUUCCCAGUGUGAAGUGGGAGGGCAAUAGAAGAGGCUUAUGCAGAGCUAUGGACCCUUCCGACCACACGCUGAAUGUCCUGGCGACUCUUCCUAGAAAGGAUCCGACCGCUACAGGCUCUGCCCCAUGGAUGGUUACAGAAAAGACAGUCUCAUUAACCACUCACAGUGUGAACAGACCGCCUCAGUCAGUCUCCUACAUCAAGGCUGCUUUUUCAAACCCUGAGGGUUCCUUAUUCACCCUGGUAGGUUUAAUUUUUAAUAAUCAGUGAACUAAAGUGUUCCAGAAUGCCCAUAGGCUUAAGUUUAAUAAAGAGUUCUCCGGGUCCGUAAUGUAGAAAAAGUACGUAUAAGAUCAGAACACUCAAAGAGCAAGGACGCUUGGCACAGUUGUCAGUGAGAGGCUCCUGGCCAGGCAGGUAGUUUCUAUCUUUGUCCCUAGAGUGUCGCACCUGUGGGUGCCAUCUUGGUCCUUAGCCUCCUGCUGUAACGGAGUCCAGUUAACUGCCACAUAACUACCCAACCUAAGCCCACUUUAGUUGCGGAUCCUAUUUAGUUGUUAAAGCAGAAACUAGAGUCUAACAUCUCUGUUUUAAAAUACACAUAUUCGGUAUGUUUUAAUGAUUUUUGCCCCUUCAUCUAUUUGAAUUGCUAAAAAAAAAAAGGAUUAAAUGCAAAGGUUUGAUAUAUCUCUAGAGGUAUAUCUCUUUUUUCUUUUUCUUGCCUCUUUUUGGUUUUACUCCCUGCUUCCUAUUUCCAGGGUCUAAAUUGUGAAUUCCAGAAUCAUUUAAACGUACAUUUUAGAUUAAAAAUCCCGAGGGAGUCAAUGCAAUCUUUAAUCCAUGUAACGUGAGUUUUCAUUUUGUAUGUUUCAAAUUCAAAAACAUUCGAAUGCCAUGAAAUGAAUACGUAACUGGCCUGUUGAAUUUGAAUGCAGAGAGAAUAAGGGAAUCCGUGAGAUUUCCUAGGGUUUAAAAGCUCCUGAAAAUAAGAAGAUAAGGGAUUUUAAAAUGUUGGUGUGCUCUGAGGUCCCCCUGCGUCUGCCUCUGUGGAGCAAAACGUCACAGUGUAGGCCUUGGUAAGGGAAGCAAUGCCUCUGGCCCUUUCUGGUGACUUUCUUUCUUUAUCUCCAGGAAACCUUAGUCACAAAGUUUCUGUUUCUACAGCGCCUUCUGUAUACUCCUGUUAUAACUGACCCCAAGUAUAGCAUCCAUCCAAGCUCUUCCUAAACUUCCUACAAACAGGGCUGUUUCCUUACAACCUGACCAUUCCUACAACUAAAACCAGAACCUACCACAAACUCGGAUAGAAGGCUGUAAGUUUUCUGCACCCCAGCACACCCCAGACAAUUAACCUUGGACCAUGCUGCUACCAUAGAGCACAUAAUAUCCAUGCUUGCCUGGACGGCCAGUCCAAUGUGACCUUUCUCAUAACAAAGCACAAAUGUUUACCAUUUCUUUCAUAACCUCGGCCUCCCUUCCUCCCUCCCUCUCUCCCUCCCUCUCUCCCUCCCUCCUUCCCUCACUCUCUCCCUCCCUCCCUUCCUCCCUCUCUCCUUCCCUCAUUCCUCUUGUCUUCUCUCCUUGCCAAAUACAAAAGAACAGAAGUAAGAAAUUUAGGGAAAAUGCUUUUUCCCUAGACUUUAAGAAUCAAAUGGGCUUUAUAUUGAAUACAUAUCAGUGAGGCUCUUCCUGGAUUCUAGACUUCUGUGUGUGCUGGGAAUCUCUGCUCCUCAAAUCCCUCUCCCCCUUUUACUGUCCAUCUUCCCUUUCCCAGGGAAAGCACCCUUGGCCUGCUGACCUAAGUACCCAGUUCUGUUUUCCUCAGCAUCUUGCAGGUGCCCUCAUAUGGUACUUAACAAAGCCGACUUGGUUGCUUAAUCACCUACACCACAGACUUUUCCAUGGUGUCUGUAAACCUUCCUUGUGUAGACACUGUGCCUAGCUCUGUACACUUACCCCCAAAGGCCCAGCUCAGAACACAUUCUAGGAUAACAUCUCUUUGAGUAAAUCAAUGGUAUCUUCAUAAUAGUGUUCAUGGCCAAAUUAACUUAGCUUGAGCCAAAGAUGAGUUUUGAUUGACAGUUUUCAAGGCGUGUUCUUUCUUAUGUUCCUAGUGAGUAGGCAGCUUAGGAAGAGAAAACGUGAACUCUAAAGGAAACACUACAAAGCAAAAGCCAGAGCAAGUGGGAAGCAAUGAGAAGUCCAGAGUUGGGGAGUCAGAAUGUGAGCUUUGAGCCUCCAGGGAAUCAUUCUCUCUUUUCCAGUUGCCCUCAGAAGCAUUCCAUGGCAAACUUACCUGUGUUCUGGAACUCUCGGGAGAUAAUUUGAAAGUUCCCCAAGUUACAGGAGCUUGUGCAAUCAACAACGAAGUACAAGUUAUUGCUUAGAGUCUGCUCCCCAAACAGUCCCUGCUUCCGAGUAGUGAGAAAGCAAACCAAACUUGUAAUUUUAAAAAAACCAUUGUCCAAUGGUCAAAUAGGUUUUCAAGAUAGAACAUGGCUGGGGACAUUUGGAGCUGUGUGAGCUAGAGCACAUGGGAUAGCUAGAAUGAACAUCCUAGGUACUGUUCUCUUCAACUGCCUUUAAUAGCUCUGCCCUCCCUGUCCCCACCCCCAACCCCUGCUGAAAGGAUGCUAUGCUUGCCCCCGUGUCCUCUUGGGCAGUGGCAGAAGUCAUGCUGGAAAUACAAGGUCUCUAAGGUGGAAAGAUAAGCAAGAAACUUUUUCCUAUGACUUAGUCGAGAUAUCAUAUUGGCGGUGCUCUGUAGGUGUCAAGUGUGCCUACAGACAUGUGGGGAGUGUUUUCUUCUUGUGUUAGUGAAAAGCAGAGCGGUGUAGUACACAGUGGCAAGCUCGGCUCCCCGGUGUCCAACUAGAAAGCAUGAUAAAUGCUCGUAAGGUCUCUCCUCCCCCCCAGUUCGUGGUGGAUAUAAGCUGACAAUUCUCAGCGGAGUCCCGGUGAGUAGUGGGCCGACUCCCCUCAUACAUCUGGCACGUAUGAACACCUUAAAUUGGAAUUCCAUUCUCAUUAGUUCAUGCUGUGUUCUGACUUGGCAGGUGUGUGUGCUCACAGCAGUGUGCAAGGGGAGAUGUAAGGGGCGUGCUUUACCUUUCGUUUUCUCCAUCAAAGUGCUCGUUUAAUUUAAUACCUACAAAUAACUUAGGAUGAUGAAAGAGCAUCGUGAGGAAAGAGGGACCGUGUAAGGAAGUGGUUACUAAGGUUAAUUUGUAUCCCACCUCUUUAGAGAUUGCUGUUUCCUUCAGACAGAUUCUACAGUGGCUCUCUGGUGUUUGCUUGACAGUGACCCAUGUUUAGAAGUGAUCACUACGACUCUCCAAACUUCUCUUUUUGUUCUGUUUGAAGGGAGUCCUAGAGACUAUGUACAGGUGAAUUCAAGAUUAACCUGAACAAAAUGUAGAGAAAAAGAAAAUCGAGAAAUACAUAUACAAGGAUAAGAAUUGCAGGUAAUAGAGGAAGAGGGAACCAAGGAACAGACUGAAGAUAAGGUUUAUGUUCACGAGACUAUGGUAGGAUAUUUGUCAAGGUCUGGGAACACACUGAUUCCUUAGUACUUGGAGGAAUAUGUAAUAUAUCCUGUCUGGGUAGAGGGAUACUGAAGAUUAAACCAAAGACUCAUCACAUGCUAGACAAGCACUUUAUCACUGAGCUACUUGCUCAUUUCUCUCCCUCCCCCUUCACUUCUUAGUGCUUUCUUUAAGGUCCCUAGCUCCAUACCAUGUCCAGGAACCCAGAGACAAGCUCCUAAAGAAAGAGUCUACUCCAGCUCUACCUGCAAUGCCUCUCACAGUACUUUCAUAUUGAAUAACAUGUGGGGAACACUAAGGAGAAUUCUGCUAGGGUGCACUCUAAAGACCAGAGGAGCCCACACCAGCCUUUUCUGUCCAUUCAGGAACCCAGUCUUCUUAGCCUGUGUAUGCCAACAUUUUCCACUGCAAAUCUUAUUGAGCUCUUCAUAGGCAGCUUUAUUCCUUUUAAUUAAAAAGACAAGACUGCCAAUUACUUAAACUUAAUCCCCAAAUGUAAUUGUUACUUUGAAAGAUUCUUUUCCAUAAAGCUCAUACAAGAGUAAUAUUUCCAUCAAAUUAAAAUUUAGUGGAAGCUUGGAUUUUCAAAAAAAAAAAUAUUCAUUUUCGAAUCCCAGCUGGCUGUAGAAAUCAAAAUAGCACAACAAGGCAUAAGCAAAGGGAAGAGACCAGGAAAGGCUGGCUGGAGUCAGCAGAUCCACACUAGAGGAAUAGGAAAAGAUGAGAAGAAAAGUCCCAGCACUCAGGAUUUUCCUGCCUGGAAAUGUAUGCUGUAGGGCAUUUAGCCAUUUAGCUUGAAGCUAAAUGUAAAUCCAGAGAGAUAUAACACUGCAAAGCUGUUGUUGGACAUUUCAGUAAUGUGGUGGGUAAAUUUCAUAUUGAUUCGUGUUAGCAGAUUUUAACAAGAAUGGUUUAGGAGACAAAUCAAGUGAAGAGUAGAAAGGUGGAGAGAGGUAAGACAUGGACAUGAGGAUAAGACCUCGCUUGUUACAGUUGGGUCUAAAUCAUUCAGUGUCAUUCAGUCUCUUACUGAUGCCCUGUGAAAUAAUGGUAUGGCCGGUGUAGUCACUCACAAGUGAGGAAAAUCAACAGGAAGACUGUUGCUCACUAUCUGAAGGAGCCAUAGGAGAAUGUGCGCAGAUUGAGCCUUAGUUGUUUUCUUGUGUGUUAACUGCGGCCAGUGGUAAUUCUGUGAGUUUGUUAUGUCAUGGCUGCAUAAGUCUUCUCAGGAGAAAUAAGACCUUUAUUUCUGUCAGCCAAUAGGAAGGGAGAGAUGUGUUUUGAAACUCCCUAGACAUGAUCUAUAUCUUUGACUGGGACAAAUGGCACAUUCUUUGGCUUGUUGACUUUGAAAUACCAUGAUGAGGUAGUGUGCAUGAUGGCCGUCAUUGAGAAGGGCCAUACAACAGAGAAGGGCGCCAUUUUGAGGUUCCUCUUCAAGAUGUUUAUUCUGGUAUGAGUAAAAACUAAGACAAAAUCUUCUUCUUUUUCUCUUGUUCUUGAAAUAGUUUUAUUUUAAACAUCUUAGCAGGGUGGGCAUGGAAAACAUGCUUGAGAUUCACAACCAUCAAACUAUAAGGAAGCUACACACAAGUCAUGUGUACCUAAUGCUUGUGUCCACAUGACAUGAACGUACCUCUCAGGAGAGUGGUUUUAAAAGCCAUAGGAAGGGUGUGCAACUGAAUAUGAUUAUUUGAAAUUCAAUAUACUUUCUUUCUAGCGUUCUUCAUAUAAUAUUUAAAAUACCACUUUGAGCUUGUAGGCAUGAAAAAUACAAUUUCUUUCCCAUUUCACAGUUGGAAAAACUGAAUUACAGAGAACAAUGCUAGUAAUUACCCAUAAUUAAUAGAGGUGUGUAUGCAAAUCAGUCUGAAUAAGUGUGUGAAAUUAGAUGUAGUGAUGCUAGACAGUCUUGUUUCUGUGUUUUUAAAAUGCUUUCAUGUAAAUCUCUGUGUUAGUCAGGCAUACAAAUAUGACUUUCCAAAAAUGUAUGGAUAAUAAAGUGACUAUUAUGUAUGUAUGUAUUGUAGUGUGUAAAAUGAAUUAGAUGAAUCAUUGCAACUUGAUAGAUAGGUGCAUAUCUAAUGAGCAUUAUGAAUGCAUACAUAAUGUUGGUUAGUAAUGCAUUAUAUGGAUAUAUAUAUAUGACCUAGGUUUAGCAUGAGGUAGAGUGGAUUUCGGUAUACUUGGGUCAUUAAAAUGUGGGAAGUGUUAAUUUCUGAUGAUUGUGGGAGUUAGUAAAGAUAGUACAUACAAAAUACCUUAGAAGGAAUUGGUAAAUGAGAAACACACUAAACACAUUAGAUAUUAUUGUUAUUCUUCAUACUACCAGUGCUGUAGCAGAUGAACCUGUUAGAUUUAGGAGUUGAUAGGGGCAUCUCCUCCUUGAUUUCCAGCAUGAUAUAUUCAGAAAAUAAAUGAAAACACAAGGUUUAUCCAAGCAUCUCUACAGCAUGGGAUAUAUGCAGGGUUUUUUCUCCUCCCAUUUUCCCUUCCAUUCUCUUUGAGCCUGAUUUGAAGAACCCAUUCCUGGGAAAGCCAGGUAGGAGCAAGUGUAUCUCUUUGUAUACCGUAACUGGAGUCUGGCUGUUUAGAUGCCAGAUUUACCCAUAAGGACACCAGUCUCAUUUGGGGCGAAAGCAAAAUAGGGCAACUUCAAAUUCGUGUAAACCUGGUUUAUUUGCAGGUUGGAUUGUACUUUCUUUUUUAAAUUUAAUUUUGGGGAGUUUGUUUGUUUUCAGAGUGAGCUUUUCGAUAGCCACAUUAAUCAUGCCAACCCAGCCAUGUGCAAUGUUUUAUCAAUGGAAAAACAGGGACUGAAUGGCAAGCAGCUGUGAACAAACCCAGCGUGAUGCCUGAACCUGGAAGAUAAUCUCAACAUUUCCCAGAUCUACUUGCCGCAUGGGGUUAGUGAUCAGAAAGGCUGUUCACUUGGGAUAAACAAUCAGAUGGGAGACAAACAAAUGAGACACAGUCAUUCCUGUUUUUUUUUUUUUUUUAAAUUAUAAUCUAGGCAGUGAUUGGAGAAGGGUGGGCUGAUAAAGCCCUGAGAGCCACAUGCUCAAGGGAAAUUUUGCUUAGAAGCUGUAAAGACAAAACAAUGGUGGUUGUCCUUGGCCUCCCUUCUUGAUUUUAACUUUUUAAUACUGUUUUCAUUGCCUCAGACUGAACUGUGCUUCUUGUCAGGGCGAGGGCGUCUUCCAGCACAAGUCAGGUAAGGGGAGACACCACCAAUGCCCAGGUUCACAGAAGCCCUGGGAAAUGGCUCGAGCCAAACAGAGUGAGAAAAAAAUACCUCAGAAUUUUAGAACUGACUCUUCCGUCAUUUUACAAUUCAGUGGGUUUUCUGCAGUGAUAUAGUUGAGAUAUUUAUGCAAAUACAUGCAAUUCAGGACUUAUUUCAGAAUGAAUAAAUCUAAAUUAAAAUUAAUGGGAAAAUUCAACUAUCAGAAACAAAUCAAGGAAGGAACAAUACUUAUUUUCCAUAUAUAUUAAUAAUUAAUGAUUAAUAUCCUGAUUAAUAUAUCUGUAUAUUAACUAGGGAACAGGGAAGCACCCUGCUUUUGUUGUUUUGUUUCAUGUUUGGCCCAGAGGUAAGGGCAUUGGAAAAUUUCUAAUUGGCCACAGGAAAUAGACAUUAAUGUUUGGUAUCAUCUGUAUACUGGAAUCACUGCAGGCAUGGCAGUGCAUUCCCAGAUGACCUGAGGGCCACUGGUGGUUAGGGACAUGAGAGGAUGAGAGGGGCAACCCUCUGAUGUGAGGCACUAAGGAAGAAGCCAUUGUAAUUAAAAGUGUUUCAGCUGGAUUAUGGUUAGGGGAUGAAGUUCUCCUUUCUAUUGAAAAGGGCAGACAAUGGCCUUUGUGACUUUCAAGUCACCUUGAAGAAAUCAACUGGUCUAGCAUCCUUCAGGCCAUUUGCCUCAAACCACAAACACAAGACAUAGUUAACACUGUGGAGGUAGAAGCUAAGAGUCCAUGUAGAUGAGGACAAUAUAUAAUAGUUAAUUAAAUAAGGGAAUCACGCACAACAGUGGUGACCACAGUAAGACAUGCUUUAGAGGAAUUGUCACUCUACAGGCCUAGGCAUUCUGUCAUUGACUUUUCUUUCUAUGGGGAAGUGCAUUUCAUGCGGGAGGCCCUCUUGAUUGGAAAGAGAAGGAGAAAGUGAUUGGGUCCCUAGGAAGGUGGUGUCCUUGUAAAGGACAGUCGGCUCAAGAGAACCAGAAAUUCUCCAGGGACAUUUCACACCAGAUAUCCCGUGUCUCCACGAACAGCUUUUCAAUCCCUGCUAGCAGAAGCCAAACGUAUUAGUAGAAGAUGAACUAUAUUCUCUAAACACUAUCUAAGAAAGCUAACUACAGUCUACAUACAACGCAAAAAUCAAACGAGGGUCAUUCUCCAAUCAACAGUUCAGUGUGUGGGAAGCCAAGUUCCAUAAAAUUCAACAAGGUCAGUCCCUCAGUGAGACUAGCGUUCGGCAGCUGUCCUCUGUGAAUGGCGUCUGGCGUCACUUUGUUCAACCACAAUGCAUGAUCAGAUAAAUAUUUGAGUUUGUGGCUGCAGAACCGCUGUCACAGAGACACUCAGAGUCAUCCUGAUACUGUGAGAAGCUCAUCUUGGACAGGGCAUGACCCCUUUGCAAAUGUAAUUCACUGGGGCAGAUGUGUGUGUGUGUGUGUGUGUGUGUGUGUGUGUGUGUGUGUGUGUGUGUUUUCCUUAUCAAGAUACAUUUGCAAGAUGCCAACAUGAUAAAAUGGUGUCAAUCUCCGUGGCAACACUAGAAGCUAAAUGUCUUAAAAUAAUUGUGGCAUGUCAGGAACUCAAGAUGGAAUAUUUUCCACAAAUGCUGCACUUCAUGUCAAGUCUGAAAACCAGGCACACUUUAACAGUUUUAUUUUUAGUGGCCAGGGUAAGGAACAGAUUUCAUUAAUGCUUUAGGGAAGUGAUUUUGUUCAACUGAGUUCUAAGUUUUAUACCAAAAUAGUCUAGACUGCUCUUAAAAUUUAUUAAGCUGUCUUGUCAGCCCUAGAAGCUUUCUACUACUCAUUGUAAAUACAAUUAAAGCAAGUUUGCAUAUAUGUGAAUGCAUACAUAUGCAAAACAUCACAUUAUUGACACUCUAAAGAUAUCCUGCUCUGAAUUUCAGGUUGGACAAGUUAAUGAAACACGAUCCAUCUUCAAAUUUAUGAAACAGUAGCUUUCUUCAUAUAAUUCUGAGCACACUUUCCUUAUAGUGUGUAUGAUCAUCUUAUUUAAUUGGAUUUAUUUUUUUUUCCACACUAGGCCCUGCAUGGCCUAGUUUCCAUUUUUUUUUUUUCUCACGUCUUUGAGUGUUAUUUGCGAAUCACUUUUCUGGGAUUUAAUUUCAAUGGUAGGUUGGUUUCAUUUCAAUUUUUUUGUAUUAUUUUAAUUUUAUUUGCCAAUUUGCCUUUAAAUACCCUUAAGCUAGAAAGUUGUGGCUGUGACUUUGCAUCUAAAUGUGAUGUAGGAGGCAGAAUUUAAAUUGGAUGUGUAGAGAGUUUUUGAAAAGAAUACAGAGUGACUAUUUCAUAAAUUGUUAUUUGUGUUUUCAAAAGCAUAUAUGUUUAAAAGGUAAAACACACAAGUUGGCCAAGAGUUUAGGAAAAGCAGUAUUGUGUAAUUGUGUUGUGUUUAGUCUUUGGGAAAUACAUUUUAUAAGCAGCACCAAUGCUUAUAGCACUAUAGAUUCAGAGCCUAUAAACAUUUGUGUUUGGGGUGGCCAGUAGGAUCUUUAAUGUGCAUUUUGUGGGUGAGAGAGCUACAGCACCCAGGCAGCUGUGUUCCCAAUAAGGAAGCUCUUAGAGACCUAUAAUAAAAACAGAUUGAAAAUACAUUAUUCCCUAUCUAUCUAACUUACUGAUUGAAAUUAAGUCAGUGACACACCUGUUACUCUCAAUAGAUUGUCUUGUUUUGCAGUGUUUAUGGGGAAAAGAUAACUUCUAAUAAAUGUGAAUUCUGAGAAUGUA
Peromyscus maniculatus bairdii (prairie deer mouse) is the source of this 13578-nucleotide non-coding RNA. NCBI's taxonomy places the organism in Eukaryota, Metazoa, Chordata, Mammalia, Rodentia, Cricetidae. The record is from RefSeq and is a predicted model, not a curated record.